RNAcentral lists this ribosomal RNA (252 nucleotides) under uncultured bacterium. Its description in RNAcentral is "partial 16S ribosomal RNA". It matches the Rfam family "Bacterial small subunit ribosomal RNA", at positions 524 to 776 of the family's 1533-position model. The record is from RNAcentral.
UACGGAGGAUGCGAGCGUUAUCCGGAUUUAUUGGGUUUAAAGGGUGCGCAGGCGGAUUUUUAAGUCAGCGGUCAAAUCGUGGGGCUCAACCCCAUCCAGCCGUUGAAACUGGGGAUCUAGAGUGUGCAAGAGGUAUGCGGAAUGCGUGGUGUAGCGGUGAAAUGCAUAGAUAUCACGCAGAACCCCGAUUGCGAAGGCAGCAUACCGGUGCACAACUGACGCUCAGGCACGAAAGCGUGGGUAUCGAACAGG